RNAcentral lists this long non-coding RNA (688 nucleotides) under Helianthus annuus (common sunflower). RNAcentral describes it as "hypothetical non coding rna". The record is from RNAcentral. Lineage: Eukaryota; Viridiplantae; Streptophyta; Magnoliopsida; Asterales; Asteraceae.
AUGGCAAAAAAAAGUGCUGACGACUUAAAGCCAGCCAAGCUUCAAUGAGUUUGGGCUUCACAUCAUGAGUUUCAACUUAAAAAGUUAAAUACUUAUUAAUAAUAAACCACUAGAGUCAAACCUGAGUUUGAACUUGAAAAAUUAUUGAUAAUCUUAGUUCAAGCUUUAGACUUAUAACUCUGAAUGAGCCAAGCUCAAGCUCUCAUGUAUUACACGAGUCAUACUAGUAAUUUACAUCCUUAUACAAUAAGUAUUUCAUAAAACAAGAUAUAUGCUUAAUGCCUGUCAUCCGGAGUUUGUUUACUGGAACUUAGUUUGUUUACUCGUAAAUAGAAGGAUAUAAUCGUCAUUAUAUACACACACACAAAUUCAUUCAUUCUCUCUAGUAAAAGGGGUAAAAUAAUGUUUUUACAUAAAUGUUAAAACAAGUGCAAUAAUUUCCCUUUAACUUCAAUACAAAGUACAUACAUAAGAUAUGAAUGCGACGAAUGAAUGCCAAUGGCAUGACCAACCACUUAUGUCUCACAAGUUCGACCCGUAUGAUAUGACGAUGCAAAUUAAUCAAAGUCAAAACAGUUAAAAACUCAUACAAAUGUACUCCAAUGAUAAUGUCUGAAUUAUUUCAUGCAACAAAAAGUUAAAAUUAUCAUUUUCGAAAUAUAGUUUACAAAACUUGUCUGACUCGUUU